GCCCUGACUGGUGUGGCUCAGUGGACUGAGCGCUGGCCUACAAAGCAAAGGGUCAUGGGUUCAAUUCCCAUUCAGGGCG
This is a non-coding RNA of Artibeus jamaicensis (Jamaican fruit-eating bat), 79 nucleotides long. Lineage: Eukaryota; Metazoa; Chordata; Mammalia; Chiroptera; Phyllostomidae. The record is from the annotation of a RefSeq genome assembly.